Molecule: long non-coding RNA, 325 nt
Organism: Vicia villosa (hairy vetch)
Lineage: Eukaryota; Viridiplantae; Streptophyta; Magnoliopsida; Fabales; Fabaceae
Exons: 3
Source: RefSeq, a predicted model, not a curated record
CAAUGCCAGCGGUAUUGAUUUUUACCUUACCGAAGCUAAUUUUUUUUGCAGGCUUCGGAGCUCUCUGUGGCUUCAAUUUGAAUUUGAUCAAAUUGCUAUUGGAGCUGCUUAAUGCUAUUAAUGCUAUAAAGGAAAUUGUUGAGGAAUGAGGAGGUUAUUGAAGUUUGUGGUGGUUGCACAUUGCUUAAACUUGCAUUAAAGGUGGAUUUUCAAUCAAGGAAAUUCUUGCAAAUGAUGAAGAAAAAGUUGGAGCAGACAUUGUUAAAAAAGCUCUUAGUUACCGUCUGAAAUUAAAAGUUAAGAAUGUCGGUGUAAAACAUCAGAC